RNAcentral lists this long non-coding RNA (284 nucleotides) under Hordeum vulgare. RNAcentral describes it as "long non-coding RNA (HVUL_LNC020387)". Lineage: Eukaryota; Viridiplantae; Streptophyta; Magnoliopsida; Poales; Poaceae. The record is from RNAcentral.
GCCAUGAUUCAAUGGAAAGCACGAUGGUAGUGUACAUUUACUAGCAUAAAAAAUACAAGGCAACUCUGACAAUUUGACUCUGCUUUCUAAUCGUGGAAUGCAAGUAAACUAGCUUCCUAUCACAAAUAUCUUGAUACACAACACAGGCACGAUUUCAACUAUAUCCAUCAAAAUCGUUCUUACAUGGUAACUCUGAUCACUUGACAUGUCGAGAAAUUAACAUAUGGUAAUAGACUAAUAGCAGUACAUUGUCUCCGGCACAGGAUCCGCAAAUAUCACCAGGC